AUGGGGGGGGUCCCGGUGCCGGUUCCGGUGCUCCCGGGUCCCGGGGCGGGGCCGGGGCGGGGCCGAGCGCCGGGCGGGGCCGUUCGGAGCCGCUUCUCCCCCGACCGCGGCACCGGGUCCGGUACCGGCCCCGCCCGCUCCGCCCCGGCCCGGUCCGGCCCCGACCGCGGCGCUUCGGGGGGCGGCAGCGGAACCGGCACCGGGAAUAACGGGACCCGCGGCGGAGCAUCCCCGGGAGGAGGGGGCGGCCCCGCGGUAACGGGCAGCGGAACCGGCGGCGUCGGGAGCGCGCAGCGGCCGCGGGGCCGCGCACCCCGAGGUACUGACAGCACCGAGACGGGGGCGGGGGGGGAACCGGGCCGGUACCGGGAUGGGGAUGGAGAUAAUGGGGAUGAUGGGGAUGGAGAUGUGGGACCCGGGGCCUUUGCACGUGCCCCCCCCCCACAGACACACACCACCCGCACACGCGUGGCGCUGCUUGCUGCCCCCCCCCAAUCCAUCCAUCCCCUCCUCGUGCACGCGUGGGUUGCGCCCCCCCCUCACCCCCCCGCCCCCCCCCCCCCUCCCCCCCCCCCCCCUCCCCCCUCCCCCAAUUCUCUCCUUCCCCCUCAGUUGGGACCCGCUGCCUCGCUGUGUGGUGUCUGUGUUGGGGGGGGGUCACCCCAUCACCCCAUCUCUCUCCCCCCGCUUGCACAACGCGCGUGCUCCCCCCUUGCGCCGGUUUCCCCCCCCCACUGCCCCCCCCCCGCUCUCCGUCCGUGCGCGAUACGGCGCUCUGUCGCAUAUACCGCACGACAGCUGGCAGCGCGUGGCGCGUCCUUCCCUCCCUUCUCCCCCCCCCCCAUCUCCGCUCUAUCGCGACACGAGCCCGGCGCUAUCGCUAUGUCACGACAGGACCCCCCCCCCCCCCCCCCCAGCUCUGCCCUCAGUCCCUCGUUUGAGACCCCCGCGGAUGUGGGGGGGAUUCUCUCCCCUCUCCCCGCGCUGCGAUACGUCACCGCGUGA
RNAcentral lists this long non-coding RNA (1005 nucleotides) under Coturnix japonica (Japanese quail). RNAcentral describes it as "lncRNA (ENSCJPG00005007717.1)". The record is from RNAcentral. Lineage: Eukaryota; Metazoa; Chordata; Aves; Galliformes; Phasianidae.